This 364-nucleotide ribosomal RNA is filed under the name uncultured bacterium. Its description in RNAcentral is "bacterial SSU rRNA". It matches the Rfam family "Bacterial small subunit ribosomal RNA", at positions 28 to 385 of the family's 1533-position model. The record is from RNAcentral.
GAUGAACGCUGGCGGCAUGCCUAAUACAUGCAAGUCGAACGGACCUUUAUUUUUGAGAGUUCCUUUAUAGAAGUUCUCAUAAAUACUGGUUAGUGGCGGACGGGUGAGUAACACGUUGGUACCUGCCCUCUAGUGGGGAAUAACUGGCCGAAAGGUUGGCUAAUACCGCAUGUGGUCUACGGAUCAAAGCAGUAAUGCGCUAGAGGAGGGGCCUGCGUCUGAUUAGCUAGNGGUAGUGUAAUGGACUACCAAGGCGACGAUCAGUAGCUGGUUCGAGAGGAUGACCAGCCACACUGGGACUGAGAUACGGCCCAGACUCCUAGGGAGCAGCAGUAAGGAAUCUUCCACAAUGGACGAAAGUCUG